RNAcentral lists this small nuclear RNA (104 nucleotides) under Carlito syrichta (Philippine tarsier). Lineage: Eukaryota; Metazoa; Chordata; Mammalia; Primates; Tarsiidae. The record is from RNAcentral.
GUGCUUGCUUUGACAGCACAUAUACUAAAAUCGGAACAGUACAGAGACUAGCAUGCCCCCUGCCCGAGGAUGCCAUGGAAACUCAUGAAGUGUUCCAUACAUAC